UACGGGGGGGGCAAGCGUUGUUCGGAAUUACUGGGCGUAAAGGGCUCGUAGGUGGCCAACUAAGUCAGACGUGAAAUCCCUCGGCUUAACCGGGGAACUGCGUCUGAUACUGGAUGGCUUGAGUUUGGGAGAGGGAUGCGGAAUUCCAGGUGUAGCGGUGAAAUGCGUAGAUAUCAGGAGGAACACCUGUGGUGUAGACAGCUUACGUGGACCAUCACUGACGUGAAACACGAAAGCGUGGGUAGCAAACAGGA
RNAcentral lists this ribosomal RNA (254 nucleotides) under uncultured bacterium. Its description in RNAcentral is "partial 16S ribosomal RNA". It matches the Rfam family "Bacterial small subunit ribosomal RNA", at positions 524 to 777 of the family's 1533-position model. The record is from RNAcentral.